This 384-nucleotide ribosomal RNA is filed under the name uncultured bacterium. Its description in RNAcentral is "bacterial SSU rRNA". It matches the Rfam family "Bacterial small subunit ribosomal RNA", at positions 28 to 402 of the family's 1533-position model. The record is from RNAcentral.
GACGAACGCUGGCGGCGUGCCUAACACAUGCAAGUCGAGCGGGAACCUCAGGAGGGGUAACCCUUCUGAGGGGAGAGCGGCGAACGGGUGAGUAACACGUGGGCAACCUGCCCCGGACACCGGGAUAACCCAGGGAAACCUGAGCUAAUACCGGAUACUCCGGCGCGAUCGCAUGGUCGUGCCGGGAAAGCUCCGACGGUCCGGGAUGGGCCCGCGGCCUAUCAGCUUGUUGGUGGGGUAACGGCCCACCAAGGCGACGACGGGUAGCUGGUCUGAGAGGACGGCCAGCCACACUGGGACUGAGACACGGCCCAGACUCCUACGGGAGGCAGCAGUGGGGGAUCUUGCGCUAAUGCGCGAAAGCGUGACGCAGCGACGCCGCGU